This 497-nucleotide ribosomal RNA is filed under the name uncultured bacterium. RNAcentral describes it as "partial 16S ribosomal RNA". It matches the Rfam family "Bacterial small subunit ribosomal RNA", at positions 28 to 507 of the family's 1533-position model. The record is from RNAcentral.
GAUGAACGCUGGCGGCGUGCCUAAUACAUGCAAGUCGAGCGAACAGACGAGGAGCUUACUCCUCUGACGUUAGCGGCGGACGGGUGAGUAACACGUGGAUAACCUACCUAUAAGACUGGGAUAACUUCGGGAAACCGGAGCUAAUACCGGAUAACAUGUUGAACCGCAUGGUUCAACAGUGAAAGACGGUCUUGCUGUCACUUAUAGAUGGAUCCGCGUUGCAUUAGUUAGUUGGUAAGGUAACGGCUUACCAAGGCAACGAUGCGUAGCCGACCUGAGAGGGUGAUCGGCCAGACUGGAACUGAGACAGGGUCCAGACUCCUACGGGAGGAAGCAGUCGGGAAUCUUACGCAAUGGGGGAAAGCCUGACAGAGCAACGCCGCGUGAGUGAAGAAGGUCUUCGGAUGGUAAAGCUCUGUAAUCCGGGAAGAACAAAUGUGUAAGUACCUAUGCACGUAUUGACGGUACCUAAUCAGAAAGCCCCGGCUAACUCCGUG